RNAcentral lists this ribosomal RNA (198 nucleotides) under uncultured bacterium. RNAcentral describes it as "partial 16S ribosomal RNA". It matches the Rfam family "Bacterial small subunit ribosomal RNA", at positions 328 to 539 of the family's 1533-position model. The record is from RNAcentral.
ACGCUCGACACCUACGGGAGGCAGCAGUGGGGAAUAUUGCACAAUGGGGGAAACCCUGAUGCAGCGACGCCGCGUGGAGGAAGAAGGUCUUCGGAUUGUAAACUCCUGUUGUUGGGGAAAAAGAGGAUGGUACCCAACAAGGAAGUGACGGCUAACUACGUCCCAGCAGCCGCGGUAAUCUGAGCGGGCUGGCAAGGC